This 380-nucleotide ribosomal RNA is filed under the name uncultured cyanobacterium. RNAcentral describes it as "bacterial SSU rRNA". It matches the Rfam family "Bacterial small subunit ribosomal RNA", at positions 32 to 439 of the family's 1533-position model. Lineage: Bacteria; Bacillati; Cyanobacteriota. The record is from RNAcentral.
AACGCUGGCGGUAUGCUUAACACAUGCAAGUCGAACGGAAGUCUUCGGACUUUAGUGGCGGACGGGUGAGUAACGCGUGAGAAUCUGGCUUUAGGUCGGGGACAACAGUUGGAAACGACUGCUAAUACCGGAUAUGCCGAGAGGUGAAAGAUUAAUUGCCUGAAGAAGAGCUCGCGUCUGAUUAGCUAGUUGGUGGGGUAAGAGCUUACCAAGGCGACGAUCAGUAGCUGGUCUGAGAGGACGAUCAGCCACACUGGGACUGAGACACGGCCCAGACUCCUACGGGAGGCAGCAGUGGGGAAUUUUCCGCAAUGGGCGAAAGCCUGACGGAGCAAUACCGCGUGAGGGAGGAAGGCUCUUGGGUUGUAAACCUCUUUUCU